CAAUGGCAUAUACAAAGAGAAGCGAACUCGCGAGAGCAAGCGGACCUCAUAAAGUAUGUCGUAGUCCGGAUUGGAGUCUGCAACUCGACUCCAUGAAGUCGGAAUCGCUAGUAAUCGUAGAUCAGAAUGCCUACGGUCGAAUACGUUCCGGGCCUU
RNAcentral lists this ribosomal RNA (156 nucleotides) under uncultured Enterobacteriaceae bacterium. RNAcentral describes it as "partial 16S ribosomal RNA". It matches the Rfam family "Bacterial small subunit ribosomal RNA", at positions 1228 to 1382 of the family's 1533-position model. The record is from RNAcentral. Lineage: Bacteria; Pseudomonadati; Pseudomonadota; Gammaproteobacteria; Enterobacterales; Enterobacteriaceae.